This 73-nucleotide transfer RNA is filed under the name Paramuricea clavata. It matches the Rfam family "tRNA". Rfam says of the family: Transfer RNA (tRNA) molecules are approximately 80 nucleotides in length. Their secondary structure includes four short double-helical elements and three loops (D, anti-codon, and T loops). Further hydrogen bonds mediate the characteristic L-shaped molecular structure. tRNAs have two regions of fundamental functional importance: the anti-codon, which is responsible for specific mRNA codon recognition, and the 3' end, to which the tRNAs corresponding amino acid is attached (by aminoacyl-tRNA synthetases). tRNAs cope with the degeneracy of the genetic code in two manners: having more than one tRNA (with a specific anti-codon) for a particular amino acid; and 'wobble' base-pairing, i.e. permitting non-standard base-pairing at the 3rd anti-codon position. The record is from Rfam by way of RNAcentral. Lineage: Eukaryota; Metazoa; Cnidaria; Anthozoa; Malacalcyonacea; Plexauridae.
GACCUCGUAGCUCAGUUGGCAGAGCGUUGGACUAGUAUCCCAAAGGUCGCGGGUUCGAUUCCCACCGUGGUCA